AAAAGAAGUGUUUAAUGAUUCUGAAUAACCUAACUAACAAGGGUAGAAAAUUCGAUUUUAGUUUUGUAUAUCUUAUCUUAAUUUUUAAUUCAAUUUU
RNAcentral lists this transfer RNA (97 nucleotides) under Hemiptelea davidii. RNAcentral describes it as "tRNA-Leu". Lineage: Eukaryota; Viridiplantae; Streptophyta; Magnoliopsida; Rosales; Ulmaceae. The record is from RNAcentral.